GGGAUUGAACCCCGGCCACAGCAUGGAAAGCCUGGAAUCCUAACCACUAAGAGGUUAACCACUUCUAUUGGCAGACCAGCCAGUAGAGAAGGACUUGAAUCACCUAAGAGGAUAAAAUCUAAAUGGCCACUAGACGUGUGAAAAGAUGCGGUCUUUUCAUUACAUGUCAGGAAAAUAUUAAUUAAAAUCACAAGGAGAAAGCACUCUACACACACCAGAAUGGCUGAAAUGAAAAACCCACACAUCCUAAGUGCUGCCAAAGAUGUAUCACACUCAGACUCGGAGGAGGUAAUUGAGGACACCCACUCUGGCAGCUGGUUGGCAGCGACUCCUAAAUUUAGCAUUCAGUGCUCUAUGAGCCAGCAAUUCCGCUCCUGGGUGGACACCCACAGAAACCUGUCACAUGUUCUCUGAAAGACAUGUCCCUGCAUGUUCACCUCAGUGCUAUGAAAAAAAAGACUCUAGACCACCCAAAUGCCCACCAUAGAAGGAUUGGUAAAAAAAAGGAUGCACACAGUGAAACACUCAACAGCAAUGAGAACAAAUGAACCACAGCGACAUACGAAAAGCUGAAUAAAUCUCACAGACAAUGUUGAGUGAAAGAGGCCACACAAGCAUACAUGCUGUGUGAUUCCAUUGAUAUAAAGUCCCCAAAGAGGCAAAUUCAAUCCACAGGGUUACAAGUCAGGAUGGUGGUUACGCUUGGGAGGCAUAGUGACUAGAAGGGGGACAUGGUAGGGUUUCUGGAGGGCUGGUUAUAUUCUGUUUUCUGUUCCUUCUGUGAGUUUAUCAAACUAUACACUUAGGAUUUGUAUACUUUGCUUUAGGUAUACUGUAAUGCAGUUAAAAGUUUUCAUAACCCAGGGCUUCCGUGGUGGUGCAGUGGUUAAGCAUCCGCCUGCCAACGCAGCGGACACGGGUUCGAGCCCUGGUCCGGGAAGAUCCCACAUGCCACGCAGCAACUAAGCCCGAGCGCCACAACUACUGAGCCUGUGCCCUAGAGCACAUGCUCUGCAACAAAAGAAGCCACCACAAUGAGAAGCCCGCGCACCGCAACAAAGAAUACCCCCUGCUCGCCGCAACUAGAGAAAGCCCGCGCACAGCAACAAAGACCCAACGCAGCCAAAAAAAAAAAAAAAGUUUUCAUGACCCAAAUGAACGAGAGUUGUCCAGCCACCUUCCUGAUCUCUUCCAAGUGACUUUCACUUGCAGCCUCUGGUGAGGCCCAGAGAAAUGCCACUGUCUGGUGCCAUGCCCUUGGUCAGUCUGUUUCCUCCCUGUUGCCCAUGGGGAGCCAGACUUGGCCUUGGCCACCUGUCAGACGAGCCUGAGACAUCUAACUUCAAGGUGUCCUGACUGCCUAUUUAACACUCUUCCUGUUGGGAAAUUACACUGGCCCCUCCCAAAAGGAGUCCCAGUCUUAUGAUGUCCCCCAGGCUCCUGCCUGGGUGCAGGAAGCAGGGUCGUGAUAGAACCUUGAACUCUCUAUUCUCCCUGAGGGUCUGUGAAAAGGCAAAAUGGAUUCAGAAUCCAGGACUGAGAAAGUCCAGGCCCCCACUCAAAAUGGGAGGGGGACGGGCACAACCAUGGCCUGUGUUAAAGGGACUCAAAGACAUGAUGACAGCACAUUCCUUUCUUUUUUUUUAAUUUUUAAAAAAUGUAUAUAUAUUUUUUGGCUGCGCUGCGGGGCCUGCGAGAUCUUGGUUCCCCAACCAGGGAUUGAACCCACGCCACCUGCAGUGGAAGCGUGGAGUCUAAACCAAUGGAUGGUCAGGGAAUUCCUCACAUUCCUUUUUGUUUAAAAACCAAAAUUUGAAUCCAUCUGUCAAUUACCUCCAUAAAUCUAGACAGUUUCUUAAAGGUAAAGGCUCAAAAGGGAAUCUCAGCCUGAAAUUGAGGAGGAUUUUAUGUCACAACCUACAAAUGAAGCUAUGCUUGCCGAGCACAGUAGUUAAAACAAAACAAAGCAAAAAUGGUGAAAUUACUCGUUUGCUUCCCUAGCAGUGUCAUAUCCCCAGGCACGCUUUUGCCAACUUACCAACGCUUCUGAAAUAUUUUGCUACUAAUAAAUCUCACGAUUUGC
Molecule: long non-coding RNA, 2083 nt
Filed under: Phocoena sinus (vaquita)
Lineage: Eukaryota; Metazoa; Chordata; Mammalia; Artiodactyla; Phocoenidae
Description: lncRNA (ENSPSNG00000007997.1)
Source: RNAcentral